GCCCCAGUAACGGCGAGUGAAGCGGCAACAGCUCAAAUUUGAAAUCUGGCCCCCGGGUCCGAGUUGUAAUUUGCAGAGGAUGCUUUGGGCGAGGUUCCUUCCGAGUUCCCUGGAACGGGACGCCACAGAGGGUGAGAGCCCCGUCUGGUCGGACACCGAGCCCGUGUAAAGCUCCUUCGACGAGUCGAGUAGUUUGGGAAUGCUGCUCAAAAUGGGAGGUAUAUGUCUUCUAAAGCUAAAUAUUGGCCAGAGACCGAUAGCGCACAAGUAGAGUGAUCGAAAGAUGAAAAGCACUUUGAAAAGAGGGUUAAAAAGUACGUGAAAUUGUUGAAAGGGAAGCGCCUAUGACCAGACUUGCGCCCGGUGAAUCAUCCAGCGUUCUCGCUGGUGCACUUCGCCGGGCACAGGCCAGCAUCAGUUUGGCGCGGGGGACAAAGGCUUCGGGAACGUGGCUCCCUCGGGAGUGUUAUAGCCCGCUGCGUAAUACCCUGCGCCGGACUGAGGUACGCGCAUCGCAAGGAUGCUGGCGUAAUGGUCAUCGGCGACCCGUCUUGAAACACGGACCAAGGAGUCGUCUUCGUAUGCGAGUGUUCGGGUGUUAAACCCCUACGCGGAAUGAAAGUGAACGUAGGUGAGAGCUUCGGCGCAUCAUCGACCGAUCCUGAUGUUCUCGGAUGGAUUUGAGUAAGAGCAUACGGGGCCGGACCCGAAAGAAGGUGAACUAUGCCUGUAUAGGGUGAAGCCAGAGGAAACUCUGGUGGAGGCUCGCAGCGGUUCUGACGUGCGAAUCGAUCGUCAAAUAUGGGCAUGGGGGCGAAAGAC
Molecule: ribosomal RNA, 822 nt
Filed under: Cordyceps sp.
Lineage: Eukaryota; Fungi; Ascomycota; Sordariomycetes; Hypocreales; Cordycipitaceae
Description: LSU rRNA
Rfam family: Eukaryotic large subunit ribosomal RNA
Source: RNAcentral